AAGAUCGACGAGCGGCGGACGGGUGAGUAAUACUUAGGAAUCUACCUAGUAGUGGGGGAUAGCUCGGGGAAACUCGAAUUAAUACCGCAUACGACCUACGGGAGAAAGGGGGCAGUUUACUGCUCUCGCUAUUAGAUGAGCCUAAGUCGGAUUAGCUAGAUGGUGGGGUAAAGGCCUACCAUGGCGACGAUCUGUAGCUGGUCUGAGAGGAUGAUCAGCCACACCGGGACUGAGACACGGCCCGGACUCCUACGGGAGGCAGCAGUGGGGAAUAUUGGACAAUGGGGGAAACCCUGAUCCAGCCAUGCCGCGUGUGUGAAGAAGGCCUUUUGGUUGUAAAGCACUUUAAGCAGUGAAGAAGACUCCGUGGUUAAUACCCACGGACGAUGACAUUAGCUGCAGAAUAAGCACCGGCUAACUCUGUGCCAGCAGCCGCGGUAAUACAGAGGGUGCAAGCGUUAAUCGGAAUUACUGGGCGUAAAGGGAGCGUAGGUGGCUCGAUAAGUCAGAUGUGAAAUCCCCGGGCUCAACCUGGGAACUGCAUCUGAAACUGUUGAGCUAGAGUAUGUGAGAGGAAGGUAGAAUUCCAGGUGUAGCGGUGAAAUGCGUAGAGAUCUGGAGGAAUACCGAUGGCGAAGGCAGCCUUCUGGCAUAAUACUGACACUGAGGCUCGAAAGCGUGGGUAGCAAACAGGAUUAGAUACCCUGGUAGUCCACGCCGUAAACGAUGUCUACUAGUCGUUGGGUCCCUUGAGGACUUAGUGACGCAGCUAACGCAAUAAGUAGACCGCCUGGGGAGUACGGCCGCAAGGUUAAAACUCAAAUGAAUUGACGGGGGCCCGCACAAGCGGUGGAGCAUGUGGUUUAUUUCGAUGCAAC
RNAcentral lists this ribosomal RNA (878 nucleotides) under Psychrobacter okhotskensis. Its description in RNAcentral is "bacterial SSU rRNA". It matches the Rfam family "Bacterial small subunit ribosomal RNA", at positions 84 to 960 of the family's 1533-position model. Lineage: Bacteria; Pseudomonadati; Pseudomonadota; Gammaproteobacteria; Moraxellales; Moraxellaceae. The record is from RNAcentral.